Molecule: ribosomal RNA, 467 nt
Filed under: uncultured bacterium
Lineage: Bacteria
Description: partial 16S ribosomal RNA
Rfam family: Bacterial small subunit ribosomal RNA
Source: RNAcentral
ACGCACGCUGUCGGCGUGCUUAACCCAUGCAAGUCGCACGAUGAUGCCAGCUUGCUGGUGGACUAGUGGCGAACGGGUGAGUAACACGUGAGCAACCUGCCCCUGACUUCGGGAUAACCGCGGGAAACCGUGGCUAAUACCGGAUAUGACGCGCUAUCGCAUGGUGGUGUGUGGAAAGAUUUAUCGGUUGGGGAUGGGCUCGCGGCCUAUCAGCUUGUUGGUGGGGUGAUGGCCUACCAAGGCGACGACGGGUAGCCGGCCUGAGAGGGUGACCGGCCACACUGGGACUGAGACACGGCCCAGACUCCUACGGGAGGCAGCAGUGGGGAAUAUUGCACAAUGGGCGCAAGCCUGAUGCAGCGACGCCGCGUGAGGGAUGACGGCCUUCGGGUUGUAAACCUCUUUCAGUAGGGAAGAAGGCCUUCGGGUUGACGGUACCUGCAGAAGAAGCGCCGGCUAACUACGUG